This 468-nucleotide ribosomal RNA is filed under the name uncultured bacterium. Its description in RNAcentral is "partial 16S ribosomal RNA". It matches the Rfam family "Bacterial small subunit ribosomal RNA", at positions 28 to 507 of the family's 1533-position model. The record is from RNAcentral.
GACGAACGCUGGCGGCGUGCUUAACACAUGCAAGUCGAACGGUGAAGCCCGGCUUUUGUGGGGUUCUCGAGUGGCGAACGGGUGAGUGUCACGUGUGUGACCUGCGCUUUACUUUGGGGUACCUUCAGUGAACUGGAGCUAAUAUCGGGUAUGAGCUCCUUCUACAUGAGUUGUAUGGUUGAAUGUCGGAGUUUGGGGAUGGACACGCGACUUAUCAGCUUGUUGGUGAGGUAGUGGCGUACAACGGCAUUGAGGGGUAGCCGGACUGAGAGGGUGACCGGCCACAAUGGGACUGAGGUACGGCCCAGACUGAUACGGGAGGCAGAAGUGGGGAAUAUUGCAAGAUGGGCGGCAGCAUGAUGCAGCAACGCCGGGUGCGGGAUGACGACCUUCGGGUUGUAAACCGGUUUCGCGUGUGAAGAAGAGUGAGUGACGGUAAUGGGUAAAGAAGCAACGGCUAACUACGUG